AUCACUAUAGCUCAUCUGGUAGAGCACCUGACAUAGAAUCAGCUGGUAAUUGGUUCGAAUCCAAUUAGUG
This 70-nucleotide transfer RNA is filed under the name Methylococcales bacterium. RNAcentral describes it as "tRNA-Leu". It matches the Rfam family "tRNA". From Rfam's summary of the family: Transfer RNA (tRNA) molecules are approximately 80 nucleotides in length. Their secondary structure includes four short double-helical elements and three loops (D, anti-codon, and T loops). Lineage: Bacteria; Pseudomonadati; Pseudomonadota; Gammaproteobacteria; Methylococcales. The record is from RNAcentral.